UCGGAGGGGGUGAGUAACGCGUGAGAAUCUGCCUUCAGGUCGGGGACAACCACUGGAAACGGUGGCUAAUACCGGAUGUGCCGAAAGGUGAAAGUUAUUUAGCCUGAAGAGGAGCUCGCGUCUGAUUAGCUAGUAGGUAGGGUAAAAGCCUACCUAGGCGACGAUCAGUAGCUGGUCUGAGAGGAUGAUCAGCCACACUGGGACUGAGACACGGCCCAGACUCCUACGGGAGGCAGCAGUGGGGAAUUUUCCGCAAUGGGCGAAAGCCUGACGGAGCAAUACCGCGUGAGGGAGGAAGGCUCUUGGGUUGUAAACUUCUUUUCUCAGGGAAGAACACAAUGACGGUACCUGAGGAAUAAGCAUCGGCUAACUCCGUGCCAGCAGCCGCGGUAAUACGGAGGAUGCAAGCGUUAUCCGGAAUCAUUGGGCGUAAAGCGUCCGCAGGUGGCUUUGUAAGUCUGCUGUCAAAGAGUGGGGCUCAACUCCGUACGAGCAGUGGAAACUACAUGGCUAGAGUAUGGUAGGGGCAGAGGGAAUUCCUGGUGUAGCGGUGAAAUGCGUAGAGAUCAGGAAGAACACCGGUGGCGAAGGCGCUCUGCUAGGCCAUAACUGACACUGAGGGACGAAAGCUAGGGGAGCGAAUGGGAUUAGAUACCCCAGUGUCACGCGUUACUC
Molecule: ribosomal RNA, 675 nt
Filed under: Nostoc sp. PUPCCC 405.7/1
Lineage: Bacteria; Bacillati; Cyanobacteriota; Cyanophyceae; Nostocales; Nostocaceae
Description: bacterial SSU rRNA
Rfam family: Bacterial small subunit ribosomal RNA
Source: RNAcentral